UGGGCGCAAGCCUGAUCCAGCAAUGCCGCGUGUGUGAAGAAGGCCUGCGGGUUGUAAAGCACUUUAAGCAGGGAGGAGGGGUACUGGCGUGAAUAGCGUUGGUAUUGACGUUACCUGCAGAAUAAGCACCGGCUAACUUCGUGCCAGCAGCCGCGGUAAUACGAAGGGUGCAAGCGUUAAUCGGAAUUACUGGGCGUAAAGCGCGUGUAGGCGGUUAUUUAAGUCAGAUGUGAAAGCCCCGGGCUCAACCUGGGAAUGGCAUUUGAUACUGGGUAACUGGAAUGUGGUAGAGGGAGGCGGAAUUUCCGGUGUAGCGGUGAAAUGCGUAGAUAUCGGAAAGAACACCAAUGGCGAAGGCAGCCUCCUGGGCCAACAUUGACGCUGAGACGCGAAAGCGUGGGGAGCAAACAGGAUUAGAUACCCUGGUAGUCCACGCCCUAAACGAUGAGAACUGGACGGUGGGGAGGUCACUCUUCGCUGUUGAAGCUAACGCGUUAAGU
Molecule: ribosomal RNA, 500 nt
Filed under: uncultured bacterium
Lineage: Bacteria
Description: bacterial SSU rRNA
Rfam family: Bacterial small subunit ribosomal RNA
Source: RNAcentral